UGGUGACAAGAUGUGCCGUAUGAAUCACGUU
RNAcentral lists this non-coding RNA (31 nucleotides) under Homo sapiens (human). Lineage: Eukaryota; Metazoa; Chordata; Mammalia; Primates; Hominidae. The record is from RNAcentral.